AGUUUGAUCUUGGCUCAGAUUGAACGCUGGCGGCAUGCCUUACACAUGCAAGUCGAACGGCAGCACGGGAGCUUGCUCCUGGUGGCGAGUGGCGAACGGGUGAGUAAUACAUCGGAACGUACCCUGAAGUGGGGAUAACGUAGCGAAAGUUACGCUAAUACCGCAUAUGCCCUAAGGGGGAAAGCGGGGGAUUCGCAAGAACCUCGCGUUUUCGGAGCGGCCGAUAUCGGAUUAGCUAGUAGGUGAGGUAAAGGCUCACCUAGGCGACGAUCCGUAGCUGGUCUGAGAGGACGACCAGCCACACUGGAACUGAGACACGGUCCAGACUCCUACGGGAGGCAGCAGUGGGGAAUUUUGGACAAUGGGCGCAAGCCUGAUCCAGCCAUGCCGCGUGAGUGAAGAAGGCCUUCGGGUUGUAAAGCUCUUUCAGCCGGAAAGAAAACGCACGGGUUAAUAACCUGUGUGGAUGACGGUACCGGAAGAAGAAGCACCGGCUAACUACGUG
This 505-nucleotide ribosomal RNA is filed under the name uncultured bacterium. Its description in RNAcentral is "bacterial SSU rRNA". It matches the Rfam family "Bacterial small subunit ribosomal RNA", at positions 10 to 507 of the family's 1533-position model. The record is from RNAcentral.